UUCAGAAUCACUUUAUUUUACUGUAAACACUCUCUGCAAUGUACUGCUGAGUUCGAAUUUUUCUAAUUCAAGGAUUAUUGAAGUUUGAUUCUACAAGACCAGUGAGAUUUAUUUAGCCUAAAUAAUUUU
Long non-coding RNA from Ipomoea nil (Japanese morning glory), 129 nucleotides. RefSeq lists it as uncharacterized. Lineage: Eukaryota; Viridiplantae; Streptophyta; Magnoliopsida; Solanales; Convolvulaceae. The transcript has 3 exons. The record is from RefSeq and is a predicted model, not a curated record.